This 535-nucleotide ribosomal RNA is filed under the name Melichthys niger (black triggerfish). Its description in RNAcentral is "partial 16S ribosomal RNA". It matches the Rfam family "Bacterial large subunit ribosomal RNA", at positions 1851 to 2587 of the family's 2925-position model. The record is from RNAcentral. Lineage: Eukaryota; Metazoa; Chordata; Actinopteri; Tetraodontiformes; Balistidae.
GGUCCUGCCUGCCCUGUGACUAUACGUUUAACGGCCGCGGUAUUUUGACCGUGCGAAGGUAGCGCAAUCACUUGUCUCUUAAAUGGGGACCUGUAUGAAUGGCAUAACGAGGGUUUAACUGUCUCCUUUUCCAAGUUAAUGAAAUUGAUCCCCCCGCGCAGAAGCGGGGAUGAAAACAUAAGACGAGAAGACCCUAUGGAGCUUUAGGCAACAAGCAGACCGUAAUAAACAUCCCUUACAAAGGAACAAGACAUACUGAACCUGACCCAAUGCCUUUGGUUGGGGCGACCGCGGGGAAACAGAAAACCCCCAUGUGGAAUGGGACCACCAAUCCUCCAAACAAGAGCCUCUGCUCUAAAAAACAGAACAUCUGACCUGUAAGAUCCGGCAAAGCCGAUCAACGAACCGAGUUACCCUAGGGAUAACAGCGCAAUCUCCUUAUAGAGUCCAUAUCGACAAGGAGGUUUACGACCUCGAUGUUGGAUCAGGAUAUCCUACGGGUGCAACCGCUAUUAAGGGUUCGUUUGUUCAACGA